Molecule: ribosomal RNA, 464 nt
Filed under: Streptococcus sp. oral taxon E24
Lineage: Bacteria; Bacillati; Bacillota; Bacilli; Lactobacillales; Streptococcaceae
Description: bacterial SSU rRNA
Rfam family: Bacterial small subunit ribosomal RNA
Source: RNAcentral
GAUGAACGCUGGCGGCGUGCCUAAUACAUGCAAGUAGAACGCUGAAGCUUGGUGCUUGCACCGAGCGGAUGAGUUGCGAACGGGUGAGUAACGCGUAGGUAACCUGCCUGGUAGCGGGGGAUAACUAUUGGAAACGAUAGCUAAUACCGCAUAACAGUAGAUGUCGCAUGACAUUUGCUUAAAAGGUGCAAUUGCAUCACUACCAGAUGGACCUGCGUUGUAUUAGCUAGUUGGUGAGGUAACGGCUCACCAAGGCAACGAUACAUAGCCGACCUGAGAGGGUGAUCGGCCACACUGGGACUGAGACACGGCCCAGACUCCUACGGGAGGCAGCAGUAGGGAAUCCUCGGCAAUGGACGGAAGUCUGACCGAGCAACGCCGCGUGAGUGAAGAAGGUUUUCGGAUCGUAAAGCUCUGUUGUUAGAGAAGAACAAGUGCUAGAGUAACUGUUAGCGCCUUGACGG